GCAGUAUUAAGGAAAGAGGAGGUUCCCCCACAGUGGAAGCUGAUUCCCAGACCUCAGUUAUUGGGGGUAGGGGGUGAUACAAGGUCUGAAGAAACCAAGGAUUGGCUUACUUGCAAGGAUGUAGGUGGUAGUCAGGGAGACAUAUGUCCUCUGGUGGCAUCAGCCUGACAGCUAAGCUGCUGGGACAGGAUAUUUUGGGGGAAACUGAGGUGUUCAUCACUACAGAUCACAAAGGGAUAUAUGAUGAUAUCCUAGAGGAAGAGGAGUACCAGCAACAGUUUGGCCUAUCAGGUUCCCUUAGCAGUUACCGGGGGAUUCACUUUUUGAGACAUCGAGGCAGAACACUCCUGCACUCAGUGUGAGGCCUCAUCCCUCAAUCAUAGAGGCCGCUGUUCCCACCAUUCAAUGGCUUCCAGGCCCUCUAGUGUGGGUGGAACAGUGGCCACUUCCCCUAGAUAAACUACAAAAUCUAAAGGAGAUAAUAUCAGAACAAUUGACCCUAGGGCAUAUUAGGCCCUCCCUGAGCCCUUGUAAUAGUCCUGGACUGACAUAAAAAAGGCCACAGGGAAAUGGAGAAUGUUACAGGACCUAAGAAAGAUUAAUGAGCAGAUGAUUCCCAUUGUCAUCCCCUUGCGAGGGCUACCCUGGAUCCCCUCCAUCUCUCGGUAUUUGACUCUCAUUGUGAUUGAUAUCAAGGAUUGCUUCUUUUCUAUUCCCCUUGAUCCCCAGGACUGUGAGAAGUUUGCCUUCUCCAUUCCCUCUGUUAACUUCCAGGGCCCAGACCAAAGAUAUGAGUGGGUGGUGUUACCCCAGGGCAUGGCUAACAGUCCAGCUUUUUGUCAACAUUAUGUUUCACAAGUCCUGCAACCCCUUUGGAGGCGAUGGGACAUAAUUCUAUAUGUUCACAUGGAUGACAUCAUUAUUGGGGCGGCCGACACCAAAGUGUUAGGCUCCACCUAUAAGGAACUCCAGACUCUCUUACAAAAGGGAACAUUACAUAUAUCUAAUGACAAGGUCCAGACCUUACCCCAUUUUAAAAUUCUAGGGGUCAAACUUAAGUUGGACUCUGUCUGUCCCCUUAAGCCUCAAUUAUUUUUCCAGUCGUCCUACAUCUUGGUGGAAUUACAAAAACUGUUGGGCGAACUCAACUGGUUAAGGCCUUGGCUUCACCUGCCUACAGAAGACCUGCGUCCACUUUUCGAGUCUUUAAGAGAUAAAGUCCCCACAGAUGUCAUCAC
RNAcentral lists this long non-coding RNA (1238 nucleotides) under Marmota monax (woodchuck). The record is from RNAcentral. Lineage: Eukaryota; Metazoa; Chordata; Mammalia; Rodentia; Sciuridae.